CUUUUUUUUUUUUUGCUUGGAAAAACUCUAUACUGCUAUAAUUAUCCUGGCAGAUGUGAUGAGGAUUUGGUUGCGUCAUUUCUUAAAAAAACAAACAGACCCAAUGUGUGAAACAAUAUGCAUAAUGAGAGAGCCCUGGAGGGAGGAAUCAUGAAAAUCCUGCCACAAACUUCUCUAGAGCUCAGUUUGUAAGGUGGUAUGGGUUUUCAUCUGCUGUACUGAGGGAAAUUGUGACAGGGACUGCCAUGUCAGUCUUGGAUCUGGGCAGCCCAGUGACCCAACAAUUCUUGACUUGCUGUCCUGGCAGGGGCCACCAGUGCUGAUGGACCCACCUUCCUCUUCAUUCUCUGGAGUCCUAGCUUACUGAGCAGCGCUGGUAGAUAUCUUGGUAGGCACCAUUAUAAAUUGCCCACAAUGCUCUGGACUGAUGCUACAUGAGGGCACUGUGAGUAACGGCAAACAGCUCACAUCAACCACCACGGAUGAUGGAGCUACUGUGAUGGUGGCGCUGGUAAGCCUGCUGGGGACAGGGCAGUGGUGUCAGAAAAGGCCUGGGAGAGGGUCCUUACCAGAGAUAGUGGCAAUCUGGAUUUGUAUUUUAUUCCUCCUAAGAUACUUGCUUGGCAGCUAUAGACAUGUUCCUACUGCUCUGCAUACUUUUCUCCAUCUGUGUGAGGGAAAUAACCCAAAGCCACUUAUCAGUUGUAAGAUGAAGAUGGAGUAACUGCACAGGAUUGCAGCCACCAUGGCCUGUACAAUAGCAACUAUUAAAAAAAAAUUGCUAAAGUUUCUUUGUUUCCAUCUGCAAGGUUCCCAUCUCAGUUUUAUAAGAUUCAUUGCACUGGCAGGAAAUCUUGGAAAUAUUUAUUUUGUAAAAACAUUCUAGGAUGUUCCAGAACACCUGUCUCAAAGACUAUACAGUAGUACCUCGGGUUAAGAACUUAAUUCAUUCCGGAGGUCCAUUCUUAACCUGAAACCGUUCUUAACUUGAGGUACCACUUUAGCUAAUGGGGCCUCCCGCUGCUGCCGCCACGCAAUUUCUGUUCUCAUCCUGAAGCAAAGUUCUUAAUCCGAGGUACUAUUUCUGGGUUAGUGGAGUCUGUAACCUGAAGCAUCUGUAACCUGAAGAGUCUGUAACCCGAGCUACCACAGUAGAGUUAGGUAUUACCAUUUCCUAAUAUUUUUAUAUGCACAGUUAGAUGUUGUGCAGCAUGGCACAGUUGGACAAUGUGUAUUCUUAAUUUUUAAGAGAAGCAGGAAAAUCUUGAUGAUGAUGAUGAUAAAAAUUUGUAUUCCGCCCUAUAUCUGCAGGUCACAGGAGAGUUCACA
This is a non-coding RNA of Podarcis lilfordi (Lilford's wall lizard), 1329 nucleotides long. The record is from the annotation of a GenBank genome assembly. Lineage: Eukaryota; Metazoa; Chordata; Lepidosauria; Squamata; Lacertidae.